AUACGUAGGGGGCGAGCGUUGUCCGGAAUGAUUGGGCGUAAAGGGGGCGUAGGCGGCCCGGUAAGUCUGGAGUGAAAGUCCUGUUUUUAAGAUGGGAAUUGCUUUGGAUACUGUCGGGCUUGAGUGCAGGAGAGGGAAGUGGAAUUCCCAGUGUAGCGGUGAAAUGCGUAGAGAUUGGGAGGAACACCAGUGGCGAAGGCGACUUACUGGACUGUAACUGACGCUGAGGCGCGAAAGUGUGGGGAGCAAACAGGAUUAGAUACCCUGGUAGUCCACACUGUAAACGAUGAAUGCUAGGUGUAGGGGGUAUCGACCCCUUCUGUGCCGCAGUCAACACAAUAAGCAUUCCGCCUGGGGAGUACGGCCGCAAGGUUGAAACUCAAAGGAAUUGACGGGG
RNAcentral lists this ribosomal RNA (397 nucleotides) under uncultured bacterium. RNAcentral describes it as "partial 16S ribosomal RNA". It matches the Rfam family "Bacterial small subunit ribosomal RNA", at positions 523 to 918 of the family's 1533-position model. The record is from RNAcentral.